This is a non-coding RNA of Acanthosepion pharaonis, 98 nucleotides long. The record is from the annotation of a GenBank genome assembly. NCBI's taxonomy places the organism in Eukaryota, Metazoa, Mollusca, Cephalopoda, Sepiida, Sepiidae.
AUUGAAAAGCCGGUUUCCGUACGAUCACCGAAGUUAAGCGGCGUCAUACCUGGUCAAUACCUAGAUGGGUGACCGCUUGUGAAUACCAGCGGCUGUAA